RNAcentral lists this non-coding RNA (49 nucleotides) under Anaerosalibacter massiliensis. Its description in RNAcentral is "Fluoride riboswitch". It matches the Rfam family "Fluoride riboswitch aptamer (crcB RNA motif)", at positions 7 to 58 of the family's 64-position model. The record is from RNAcentral. Lineage: Bacteria; Bacillati; Bacillota; Tissierellia; Tissierellales; Sporanaerobacteraceae.
UUAAAGGUGAUGGAGUUCACCAUAACUGCGUAAUGCUAAUGACUCCUGU